Long non-coding RNA from Cebus imitator (Panamanian white-faced capuchin), 367 nucleotides. RefSeq lists it as uncharacterized. The record is from RefSeq and is a predicted model, not a curated record. The transcript is spliced from 3 exons. Lineage: Eukaryota; Metazoa; Chordata; Mammalia; Primates; Cebidae.
AGAUGGUCCGCCUCUCGUGGAGUUGGAGUGCCCUCUGCUGUCCAAGAGAAGAAGUGCUCUUGCAGAUAGCUUCCGCCCAUGCUUUCUCCAGGUAAAGUAAAACCUCUAAAAUGCUCCUUAGAAAACCAGAUAGACGCCCUCAGAAGAUCGCGGAGCUUCUGGCUUCACACAACUGUGGGGGUUUUGACUCUUAAGGAAAUCCCAUCGAGGCUGAGUAUGCGCUGAGACCAGAACCUAUGUGGAGGGUUCAAAUAAAAGUCAGUGGAAGCUGUUAUCCAUGUCAACGUUGAACCAGAAGAUGGAGAGGCUGUGUUGGGAUGGAGCGGCACUUUCAGAGUUCAUCAAAGCAAAAAUAUGGACCAAGGUA